Molecule: long non-coding RNA, 301 nt
Filed under: Fukomys damarensis (Damara mole-rat)
Lineage: Eukaryota; Metazoa; Chordata; Mammalia; Rodentia; Bathyergidae
Description: lncRNA (ENSFDAG00000026408.1)
Source: RNAcentral
UUUCAUGUGCGCAUGGCAUAGACGUUUUCCCUCUCCGCUCCUUCUUGCUGUUGGCCAUACUGCCUAUUGAGAGAUUUCAAAUUGGAAGAUGUUAUCAUCCCUGAUAAAGGAAAGUCUAUGAAACUUCUCCCACCACCAUGCUCACCAAGAAAAGUCUUCCUAGGGGAAAAAAACCCCACAAAACAACAAAGAGAAGAAACAUCAAAUACUGCUGCAGGAAAGAAACUUGAAUUGAAUGAGUGUAGUAAACACUCCAAAUUGUCAUCUUACUACCAAGCACGGACAGACCAGGUGAGACGAA